AAGCACUGCAAAAGAGGAAGCUAUAAUGAGAAAGUAAAACUGAGGAAGGAGACUCCUACUCCUGCCCAAACAUGAGGAUAAAACACUAUUUUCCUCUGUCCAUAAGCAUGUAAAAAUCGCCUCCUGCUGUAAGCUCGGCACGCUCGGCACCGGCUAAGCAGGGAGAAUCCCUGAAGGGGAAAGCACUCGCAAUGCCAGCGGCUGUACUGGAGUCAAAGGAGGGGGGUUCUGCGAUCCGGAGGACCCAUCCGGCAAGUUUUCAGCAACAUCUGGGGGCUGUGAGGAGAGAUGAAGUUCCACCACCCCAUCAAUCAAUUCUUGAUCUUUGGGGCAUACAGGCAAGCUCAGGACUCAUCACCAGUGCAACCACUGCAUCACUCUGGAAACGUCAAGAAGACAUCCCGAAGAAAAGAUCAGAAAAACACCUGAAUGCAAUCUAGUUACAUCACAGAUUCUUGCCCAAAUUGGAUGAUCACUGGUGCUACAUUCAUCUUACAGCCCUGAUCUGGAACCCUCAUACUUUCACUUGUUUUGUUGAGUGAAAGAAAACCUUCAAGGAAGGCACUUCAAUGAUGUAAGUGAAAUGGAAGGCACUAUUAUACACUCAACCAGAGAGUGCCCAUCACUGUUUUAAAGUAGAUUUGGUGAGUGUGUUCAGAAGUAGUGUAAAUGUAACACCACUGGUGGAUAAUAUUUUGAAUACUAACAUCUUGUAAACAAGUAUUUAAUUGCUUUAUUUAUGUACUUGCAUAUGAAUCAUACUGAUAAUAAAAGAAUUAUGGCCUAGCAGGCAUUAUUUUAGUACGAUCCUUGUAGAAUGGAAUGUUUAAACCACUCAACUUUCAAGCCAUACCAGUCCCAGAUGUCCAACUGGGAAACAACAGUAAAUGCAACGUUGCAUUGUUGUUUUAGCCCCAGGAUGCCAAGUAUCUUUCCAAAACAUGAUCUCUACUUAAAGUGAACAUUAAUUGGACAGACUUAUAUUGGUCCAAAGGAGCCCCGGUGGCGAAGUGCAUUAAAGCACUGAGCUGCAGACCGAAAGGUCCCAGGUUCAAACCCCGGGAGCGGCGUGAGCGGCCACUGUUCGCUCCAGCUCCUGCCAACCUAGCAGUUCGAAAACAUGCCAAUGUGAGUAGAUCAAUAGGUACCGCUCCGGCGGGAAGGUAACGGCGCUCCAUGCAGUCAUGCCGGCCACAUGACCUUGCCGGCCACAUGACCUAAGCUCUUCGGCUUAGAAAUGGAGAUGAGCACCAACCCCCGGAGUCAGACAUGACUGGACUUAAUGUCAGGGGGAACCUUUACCUUUACCUAUAUUGGUACAGAAAGUGAUGCUUUUGUUCAACAAACUUUUUCACCACUUUGCUCCUAUACUACCUAAAUAACAUUUGUUAAGAGGACAUGAUACAUCUGGUUUAACACCAUAUGACAUGGAAAAUUAUGAAGAAAAAAUCAGUUACUAUGCCUUUUAGUGUUACUGGAAUCAUGAAGCAAAUUGAAAUACUAGGUCAUCCUUGUAGUGGUAUAUCAAUUGACUCAAUUAGAUCUACCCACAAUCCUUUGAAUGGGAUUCUACAAGUAAAUCUUGAAGGAUGUGGAUUCUGGGCACAAUCCACAUCUGCAAUUUCUUGUGUUUCAAUUAACACUGGUAGGACUGAAGUUGUGGUUGUGUAAUAGGGACAAUUUGAGAUCCCUGUGACUUAUUCUUCUUCCUGACAUUUUUAACAUUUUCUACUCUAAAAGCCUAUCUACUAUUUAAAAAGGAGUCAGAUUUGCCUUUCUUUCUUCAGUUUGGACAAUGGGGGGCUAUAGGGUGGGUGCUUCUCACCUCUACCUCUUCUCAAUGCCUUUUUUGCUGGGUCCAUAACAGAGGCAGAUUUCUUUCCUUGCUUUUCUCCCUGCUUUCCCUUUCCAGGUUAAUUUCUCAUUUUUUCUCAUUUAUAUUUCCCUAUCUGUAUUUUUAUAGAUGAAGGCAUUUUAAAGAUCAGCAAUGAAAUUUACACCCCACAUACUACAAUAACCUCUCAAAUAAACAGAUUUUCUUCUUUUCUUCCUAAGCAUGUUCUCUUUAUGCAUAUUUAAAAGGAGAGGAAAAUAUUUGUUUAUUACAUGUCCCAAACUUUUAUCCUUGACUUAUCCAUAGGUCAAAGCAAAAUGUAUAGUUUCGGCCCCAAAAUCUGUCCUUGUUUUAUACACAUAGUCUAUUUGUAAAUUAGCAUUUAUGACAGUAAAGCCACAACGCAAAAAGGUGGGCUGAGUUAGGAACUAGCCUAAAAUUAUCAUUAGCUACUUACCAGAAAUAGAUUUUGUAUUUUUUACUGACAAUUCUUCGAUCCUUCCUGGACAAAUCAGAAAGAUAGAGGAACAUCUAGGAAAAAAAGAUGGAAACAUUCAUAUUUUGUGAUGGUUCAGAACAGAGUAAAUUAGCAGGCAAAAUAAAAGUCAGGGUGGUGGUGUGAAGGUGUCUGCUCCAGAAACCUUUAAGCUGUGACAAGAAGGUGUUAGAUGGACAAGUACCCACAUUUUUAAUUAUAUUAACAGUAAGUGCUCCAGAUGUAUAAAAGAGAAGAGUGUUAAAACUGAGGGGUGCUUCAUGGACUUCUUGGAUGGCUUUAUUUCAUCUGGCUGAUAGGUCUUGCAGCCACCUGUCUGCUGUAAUUCAGUUGCCAGGGAUAGUGGCCAAAGAGCCUCCUCAGACAACUACAGUAGCCUGCAGAAGAGAAGGCUGAGAGGAGACAUGAUAGCCAUGUACAAAUACGUGAAGGGAAGUCAUAGGGAGGAGGGAGCAAGCUUGUUUUCUGCGGCCCUGCAGACUAGGACACGGAACAAUGGCUUCAAACUACAGGAAAGGAGAUUCCACCUGAACAUCAGGAAGAACUUCGUCACUGUGAGAGCUGUUCGACAGUGGAACUCUCUCCCCCGGGCCGUGGUAGAGGCUCCUUCUUUGGAGGCUUUUAAACAGAAGCUGGAUGGCCAUCUGUCGGGGGUGCUUUGAAUGCGAUUUCCUGCUUCUGAGCAGGGGGUUGGACUGGAUGGCCCAUGAGGUCUCUUCCAACUCUACUAUUCUAUGAUUCUAUGAGUGCAGAGAGUGGGUGACAUAGAUGGGAAAUAUUCUUGAGGUGAAUAAUCUACCUUAGUGCGGAUGACAUUCUUGUCACUUUCAAUUUCAGGCAUGGUAUCAAAAUCACUUUCCUCUUCCACAGAGCUGUCUGUGUCCAAGUCACAAGGAGGUCUACGAUCCAGAGAUGAUAAUUGCUGUCCACCACUGGAGCCUGACUCAUCUGGAAAUAAUACAGAAAUAUCUGGAAUACAAGGAAAGCUUUCUGGAAAACUCUGAAGUGAAACACAUUAAAAUAUCAUGACAGAGAAGUGUCUGUGUGCUGUAUUACGGACCACAUGACAUGGGAGCAUGGGAGACCUCAUCAGUAGAUUGCUAUUGCUACUAUUAAGAAAACUGGCUUCUGCAGAACUGUUUUCAAGAAUUUGUGGCCUUUUACCCAUAGGGAGUUAGAAGCUGAAUGGCAAAGAGCACAUUCAAAGGUGGCAAGGGGCUUUUCAAGGCAGUAGGUAAGACAUAAUGGUCAACCAGUGAGUGGAAUGAGCCAGUGCAUCCACGUGCUCUUUCUAUCUAGCAGACCUGUCUCUUCAAACAGUGUGAUCCAUCUUCUGCUCCAACUGUCCUUAUGUGUUUAUUGCCAAUUAAAGCCAACCACUACUUUUAACUGUUAGAUUCCUAAUCCCCUUUUUCAUCUUAGAAAUUACAUUGUAUACACUGCUCUUUCCCACUAAUAGAAAGGUUCUUUAUAUCACAGCUUCUUAAACCAUAGACCCUGUCCCCAAAUGGGGUCCCUUUAGCUCAAUGUUGGGGUCAUGAAAAAAUGGCAGUAGUAAAAGGUUGCUGAAUAAUCACCACUUCAAGCUGAAAUAUUUUUCUCACACCAUCCAUCUAUCCACCCCUCCACCAGUCUCCCAUCCCAUACAAUCACUGCUUUUUCUGUGUAACCCAGAGUACAUUUUAUACACUGGUUCCUGUUUUACAUCCUAUCACAAUCCUUCCCUUGCUGUUGUAUAUUUGACACCAGCUCUCAAAAGCUGUUACUCAGCACAUCUACCAUCUGAACAGCCAACAGUGUCUAUAGAUUCCAGAAUUUCUGUACCAAUAGCUCCAUAGCUGCUUCCUUCUGGAGUGCUGGUAGCGAUGGGAUGAGAGGCAGCCACUGUCCCAGACCCUACAAUGAGAACAAACAGAGAAUAUUCUUCUAUUUUUAUCUGAUAGGUCAAAAGCUACCAGUGGUCAAAACAGACUGCUGCCACUUAAUAAUACCUUUAACAAUAACAACUUGAUUUUUUUACCCUGCCUACAUCUCCUCGAAGGGACUCGGGGCAUUUUACAUGUAGCACAAGGUGCCUAAAACAACGCAUAAAAUUAACACACAGUACAAUACAAAAUAAAACCACUAGUCUAUAAAACAACAAUUUUAACUCAGAACAGCACCAAUAACCUAUAGUGUAAUCUACCGUAACAAGAAGAAAGGAAAGGGAUAGUGUAAGCUGUAGCUAAGGAUUAAGGGAAUAGGUUAAAAGUGCUGUGCUGUAUCAUAAUUGUAGAUCAUUGGACUAGACAUUCUUAAAGGCUUGUCUAAACAUUCAAGUCUUGGAGAACUGUUAGGACUUGCAAAAGGAAUUAUACACGGGGAAUCAAGCAUGGGAACUUGCAGGGUGGCUGCAUGGUUAGGAAAUAAAAGAGCAAACUACUUUCCUAGUGUGGUGGAAAUAAUCCAGGCAUGGGCAAACUUUGGCCCUCCAUGUGUUUUGGACUUUAACUCUCAUAAUGCCUAACAGCCGGAAGCUUAAAAUAACUCAUUGGUUUGGUCACUAAGGUGCUCUUUUCCACUAAUGGGAAGGUUCUUCAUAUCACAGUUCAUUAAACUGUGGCCCCUGGCCCCAAAUGGGGUCCCCUUAGCUCAGUGUUGGGGUCAUAUUUUUAAACUAUUGUCGUGUUUUAUGAUUUAUUGUCAUUUUAAUUGUGUUGCUUUUGUUAAUCUUGUUAGUUGUUAUUUUAUGUUAAUUGGUGUUGUUUAUUGAUUUGUUGCAAAUUUUGUUGUAUUCCAUGUGUUUUGUGUUGCACUUUUGUUGUGCUAUUUUGUAAGUCACCCCAAGCCCCUCUUGGGAAAUUGUGGUGGGACAUUAAUAAAGUUAUUAUUAAUAUUACUAUUUAUGAAAAAAUGGCUGCAGUAAAAGGUUUCUGAAUCCCACAAAUCUAUUAGCAAUAACUUGCAGUGUUUAUAGUGGACUCUGCAGAAAUGGUUUCAGCUGUACUCCACAAAAAGGAAAAUCAGCCUGUUUAGCAAGCCUUGCAAAUGCUGAUUCAUUAUCAUUAAUGGUUUAUUUUUAUACCUAUUUUAUAUACUGAUAUACACGGGGUCAUGUGAAAAUUUAUCAGGCAGAAAGGGAUUGUGAGUGGAAAAAGUUUAAGAAGCCCUGCUCUAUAUGCACUGUAAUGUCCAAAAACAGAGCAAAGUCAAGCAUGUCAUUGAAUGCUACAACUCCAGUCCCAGCCUGCUCUUUGACGACAUAGUGUCUCUAUUGGAUAAAGUGAAGGAAAGUAACAUUCUUGUUUGCAAAGCUAAUCCAGGAGUUGGGCUAGCUACUCUCGGAGGAAAUUCUGAUGAGACACAACAGAAUAGGUAUGUGUAAAGAAGUAUGAAUUUUUAUUUACAGAUGCCAUGUUUAACUGUGUUUUAAAAAGGGUUAAUAUUUCAGUUACUCAGCACUCAGAGUUGGUUGCCAUGCAGAAGGGGGCGGAGCCAACUGGGUUAGCUGAAGAGAGAACAGAAUUUGGAGGGAAACUCAGUCAGUCAGUAAGUGUCUGUGGUCAGCAAACCACAGGGAAGUCUGAUUCUCAUUUGGAGGAUCAGGGUGGCUCAAAUGUGGGAUUUGACUCCAUUCUAAAAUAAGUUUGGUGACUUAUUUUAGGUAGUCUGUGCCCUGAUAAGGUACAGGGAAGUCUGAUUCUCAGUUGAGGGAAUCAGGGUGGCUCAAAAGUCGAAUUUGAGUCAAUUCUAAAAUAAGUUUGGUGACUUAUUUUAAGGUAAAAAUAAAAAACAGAUAGUUUGUGACUGAAAUUCACAGGGUGAAAGCAGUAUAGGAAGAAGUGGAGAAAGAAGUGACAUCUUAGGAAGUUUCAAUCACCUCAUUCUGUUAUUGCAAUUGUUAAGGAAAGUGCCUAAAUGAGAAUUGUAACUAUCAAGCUUGUGCCUAAAUAAACUUGUUAUUGUUCUCUCAAA
Anolis carolinensis (green anole) is the source of this 6284-nucleotide long non-coding RNA. RefSeq lists it as uncharacterized. The transcript has 3 exons. The record is from RefSeq and is a predicted model, not a curated record. NCBI's taxonomy places the organism in Eukaryota, Metazoa, Chordata, Lepidosauria, Squamata, Anolidae.